GUAGCUGGCUGUGAUAGGGCCAGAGAGAUCAGGGAGCAGGCUGUGAUAGGGCCAGAGAGAUCAGGGAGCAGGGGGCUGGCUGGGGCUGACUGUGAUAGGGCCAGAGAGAUCAGGGAGCAGGGGGCUGACUGUGAUAGGGCCAGGAGAGCAGGGGGCUGACUGUGAUAGAGCCAGAGGGAGCAGGGAGCAGGGAGCUGGCUGUGAUAGGGCCAGAGAGAUCAGGGAGCAGGGAGCUGGCUGUGAUAGGGCCAGAGAGAUCAGGGAGCAGGGGGCUGACUGUGAUAGGGCCAGAGAGAUCAGGGAGCUGGCUGUGAUAGGGCCAGAGAGAUCAGGGAGCAGGGGGCUG
Molecule: long non-coding RNA, 346 nt
Organism: Oncorhynchus tshawytscha (Chinook salmon)
Lineage: Eukaryota; Metazoa; Chordata; Actinopteri; Salmoniformes; Salmonidae
Source: Ensembl